RNAcentral lists this non-coding RNA (28 nucleotides) under Rattus norvegicus (Norway rat). Lineage: Eukaryota; Metazoa; Chordata; Mammalia; Rodentia; Muridae. The record is from RNAcentral.
UAUUGACAUUGGAACUGAAUUAUUUGUU